Molecule: transfer RNA, 53 nt
Filed under: Lampsilis powellii
Lineage: Eukaryota; Metazoa; Mollusca; Bivalvia; Unionida; Unionidae
Description: tRNA-Met
Source: RNAcentral
GCUAAACUCAAGCUAGUGGGCUCAUAACCCAAAAAUGAUAAAAUCUCUUAUUA